CAGUAGCCACGGGAACACGUAGGGUGCAAGCGUUAAUCGGAAUUACUGGGCGUAAAGCGUGCGCAGGCGGUUUGUUAAGACAGAUGUGAAAUCCCCGGGCUCAACCUGGGAACUGCAUUUGUGACUGGCAAGCUAGAGUCUGGCAGAGGGGGGUAGAAUUCCACGUGUAGCAGUGAAAUGCGUAGAGAUGUGGAGGAAUACCGAUGGCGAAGGCAGCCCCCUGGGCCAAUACUGACGCUCAUGCACGAAAGCGUGGGGAGCAAACAGGAUUAGAUACCCCAGUAGUCCCUGUCUCUUAUAC
Molecule: ribosomal RNA, 301 nt
Filed under: uncultured bacterium
Lineage: Bacteria
Description: partial 16S ribosomal RNA
Rfam family: Bacterial small subunit ribosomal RNA
Source: RNAcentral